Long non-coding RNA from Mesocricetus auratus (golden hamster), 717 nucleotides. RefSeq lists it as uncharacterized. Lineage: Eukaryota; Metazoa; Chordata; Mammalia; Rodentia; Cricetidae. The transcript is spliced from 2 exons. The record is from RefSeq and is a predicted model, not a curated record.
UGGUACAAAGGGAGCUCCAAGAAGAAGGAAUGCUUCCUGAGAUGAGCUGUUAGGGAUACUCCCGGUUUGCACAGCGUGGCCUGUCCCUCCUGCCAUCCUUACUUUUGAAAUAGGCGGUUGAACUGGAGGAUGUGAGCAGAAGCCAGCACGCCCAGCACAGUAUCCUCGGUCAUCUCCACCUCAUUCAUGUAAAGGUUCUUCAGGGCCAGGGCGAAGGCUGGGGAGCAGCAGCAGAGGGGGGCCAUUAGUGUGGGAUUUGUGUGCCCACCUGGGGGAGUCUCACUACUCCUGCAGCCGGGAGUGGGUAGACAUGCCUGGAGGAAUAGUGAGCGCAGACUACCUGGGCUGAUGACCUCCUGGACCCGCAGCUUCCUGGAGAAGCUGAGGAUGAAGGUAUCACUUCAAAGCAAAGGAGAUCAUGGUCUGUUAUUUGAUGAUGUUCCAAAGGCCCUGGAAGAGAUAUGGACCAACCCUACAUAUGUGACAAACUAUCUUAGGAAAAUAAGGAUGCUGAGAUGAAGGAAAUGCUGCCCGCAAGCUACAGAGAAACCUGAUGUAGCUGAGACGUGCCCGACUGAGAAGAGGAACAAACAAUGAGCAUGCAGAAGAGGAAGUUGAUUUGGGGAUAUGUUUUUCUCAUCUGUAAAAAAUGGAAUCUCCUUGCAUAUAAUGUAUCCCCUUUGGAGAAAAAGAAAAAAUAAGGCUGCUAGGAACACA